RNAcentral lists this ribosomal RNA (253 nucleotides) under uncultured bacterium. RNAcentral describes it as "partial 16S ribosomal RNA". It matches the Rfam family "Bacterial small subunit ribosomal RNA", at positions 524 to 776 of the family's 1533-position model. The record is from RNAcentral.
UACGUAGGGUGCGAGCGUUGUCCGGAAUCAUUGGGCGUAAAGAGCGUGUAGGCGGUCCGGUAAGUCCGCUGUGAAAGUCGGGGGCUCAACCCUCGAAUGCCGGUGGAUACUGUCGGGCUAGAGUACGGAAGAGGCGAGUGGAACUCCUGGUGUAGCGGUGAAAUGCGCAGAUAUCAGGAGGAACACCAAUUGCGAAGGCAGCUCGCUGGGACGUUACUGACGCUGAGACGCGAAAGCGUGGGGAGCAAACAGG